Molecule: ribosomal RNA, 255 nt
Filed under: uncultured bacterium
Lineage: Bacteria
Description: partial 16S ribosomal RNA
Rfam family: Bacterial small subunit ribosomal RNA
Source: RNAcentral
UACAGAGGUCUCAAGCGUUGUUCGGAUUCAUUGGGCGUAAAGGGUGCGUAGGCGGCGCGGUAAGUCGGGUGUGAAAUUUCGAGGCUUAACUUCGAAACUGCAUUCGAUACUGCCGUGCUUGAGGACUGGAGAGGAGACUGGAAUUUACGGUGUAGCGGUGAAAUGCGUAGAUAUCGUAAGGAAGACCAGUGGCGAAGGCGGGUCUCUGGACAGUUCCUGACGCUGAGGCACGAAGGUCAGGGGGAGCAAACGGGG